This 347-nucleotide ribosomal RNA is filed under the name uncultured eukaryote. RNAcentral describes it as "SSU rRNA". It matches the Rfam family "Eukaryotic small subunit ribosomal RNA", at positions 594 to 945 of the family's 1831-position model. The record is from RNAcentral.
AUAGCGUAUAUUAAAGUUGUUGCAGUUAAAAAGCGCGUAGUUGAAUUUUGGGUCUGCUUAAGUAGUUUAGUCGCAAGAUUAACACUACUUCGGGUGGAUCUUUCCUUCUAGGGAACUAUUGUGCUAUUCAUUUAGUGCGAUAGGGAUCUAGGACUGUUACUUUGAAAAAAUUAGAGUGUUUAAAACAGGCUUAUGCUUGAAUACAUUAGCAUGGAAUAACGGAAUAGGACUUUGUUUCUAUUUUGUUGGUUUUCAGAAACGAAGUAAUGAUUAAUAGGGAUAGUUGGGGGCAUUAGUAUUCCAUUGUCAGAGGUGAAAUUCUUGGAUUUAUGAAAGACUAACUUCUG